Molecule: ribosomal RNA, 239 nt
Filed under: uncultured bacterium
Lineage: Bacteria
Description: partial 16S ribosomal RNA
Rfam family: Bacterial small subunit ribosomal RNA
Source: RNAcentral
UUAGUGGCGAACGGGUGAGUAACAUAUCGGAACGUACCCAGUAAUGGGGGAUAACUAGUCGAAAGACUGGCUAAUACCGCAUACGCCCUGAGGGGGAAAGCGGGGGAUCGAAAGACCUCGUGUUAUUGGAGCGGCCGAUAUCUGAUUAGCUAGUUGGUGGUGUAAAGGCCUACCAAGGCGACGAUCAGUAGCUGGUCUGAGAGGACGACCAGCCACACUGGAACUGAGACACGGUCCAG